RNAcentral lists this ribosomal RNA (447 nucleotides) under uncultured bacterium. Its description in RNAcentral is "partial 16S ribosomal RNA". It matches the Rfam family "Bacterial small subunit ribosomal RNA", at positions 29 to 523 of the family's 1533-position model. The record is from RNAcentral.
AACGAACGCUGGCGGCAGGCUUAACACAUGCAAGUCGAGCGCCCCGCAAGGGGAGCGGCAGACGGGUGAGUAACACGUGGGAACCUUCCUCGUUGUACGGAACAACUCAGGGAAACUUGAGCUAAUACCGUAUACGUCCGAGAGGAGAAAGAUUUAUCGCAAUGAGACGGGCCCGCGUCGGAUUAGCUAGUUGGUAAGGUAACGGCUUACCAAGGCGACGAUCCGUAGCUGAUCUGAGAGGAUGAUCAGCCACACUGGGACUGAGGCACGGCCCAGACUCCUACGGGAGGCAGCAGUGGGGAAUAUUGGACAAUGGGUGCAAGCCUGAUCCAGCAAUGCCGCGUGAGUGAUGAAGGCCUUAGGGUUGUAAAGCUCUUUCGCACGCGACGAUGAUGACGGUAGCGUGAGAAGAAGCCCCGGCUAACUUCGUGCCAGCCGCCGCGGUAA